RNAcentral lists this ribosomal RNA (375 nucleotides) under uncultured organism. RNAcentral describes it as "partial 16S ribosomal RNA". It matches the Rfam family "Bacterial small subunit ribosomal RNA", at positions 527 to 896 of the family's 1533-position model. The record is from RNAcentral.
GUAGGUGGCAAGCGUUGUCCGGAAUUAUUGGGCGUAAAGCGCGCGCAGGCGGGGUCCUUUAAGUCUGAUGUGAAAGCCCACGGCUCAACCGUGGAGGGUCAUUGGAAACGUGGGGGACUUGAGUACAGAAGAGGAAAGCGGAAUUCCAAGUGUAGCGGUGAAAUGCGUAGAGAUUUGGAGGAACACCAGUGGCGAAGGCGGCUUUCUGGUCUGUAACUGACGCUGAGGCGCGAAAGCGUGGGGAGCAAACAGGAUUAGAUACCCUGGUAGUCCACGCCGUAAACGAUGAGUGCUAAGUGUUAGGGGGUUUCCGCCCCUUAGUGCUGCAGCUAACGCAUUAAGCACUCCGCCUGGGGAGUACGGCCGCAAAGGCUG